This 253-nucleotide ribosomal RNA is filed under the name uncultured bacterium. Its description in RNAcentral is "partial 16S ribosomal RNA". It matches the Rfam family "Bacterial small subunit ribosomal RNA", at positions 524 to 776 of the family's 1533-position model. The record is from RNAcentral.
UACGUAGGUGGCGAGCGUUGUCCGGAAUUACUGGGUGUAAAGGGCGUGUAGGCGGGAUUGCAAGUCAGAUGUGAAAUUCCAGGGCUUAACUCUGGAGCUGCAUCUGAAACUGUGAUUCUUGAGUGAUGGAGAGGAAAGUGGUAUUCCUAGUGUAGCGGUGAAAUGCGUAGAUAUUGGGAGGAACACCAGUGGCGAAGGCGGCUCACUGGACCGGAACUGACGCUGAGGCGCGAAAGCGUGGGGAGCAAACAGG